Molecule: ribosomal RNA, 505 nt
Filed under: uncultured bacterium
Lineage: Bacteria
Description: partial 16S ribosomal RNA
Rfam family: Bacterial small subunit ribosomal RNA
Source: RNAcentral
GACGAACGCUGGCGGCGUGCCUAAUACAUGCAAGUAGAACGCACAGUUUAUACCGUAGCUUGCUACACCAUAGACUGUGAGUUGCGAACGGGUGAGUAACGCGUAGGUAACCUGCCUGGUAGCGGGGGAUAACUAUUGGAAACGAUAGCUAAUACCGCAUAAUAUUAAUUAUUGCAUGAUAAUUAAUUGAAAGGUGCAAUUGCACCACUACCAGAUGGACCUGCGUUGUAUUAGCUAGUAGGUGAGGUAACGGCUCACCUAGGCGACGAUACAUAGCCGACCUGAGAGGGUGAUCGGCCACACUGGGACUGAGACACAGCCCAGACUCCUACGGGAGGCAGCAGUAGGGAAUCUUCGGCAAUGGACGAAAGUCUGACCGAGCAACGCCGCGUGAGUGAAGAAGGUUGUCGGAUCGUAAAGCUCUGUUGUAAGAGAAGAACGGGUGUGAGAGUGGAAAGUUCACACUGUGACGGUAUCUUACCAGAAAGGGACGGCUAACUACGUG